Molecule: ribosomal RNA, 484 nt
Filed under: uncultured bacterium
Lineage: Bacteria
Description: partial 16S ribosomal RNA
Rfam family: Bacterial small subunit ribosomal RNA
Source: RNAcentral
AUUGAACGCUGGCGGCAGGCCUAACACAUGCAAGUCGAGCGGAUGAAGGGAGCUUGCUCCUGGAUUCAGCGGCGGACGGGUGAGUAAUGCCUAGGAAUCUGCCUGGUAGUGGGGGAUAACGUCCGGAAACGGGCGCUAAUACCGCCUACGUCCUGCGGGAGAAAGUGGGGGAUCUUCGGACCUCACGCUAUCAGAUGAGCCUAGGUCGGAUUAGCUAGUUGGUGGGGUAAAGGCCUACCAAGGCGACGAUCCGUAACUGGUCUGAGAGGAUGAUCAGUCACAUGGGAACGGAGACACGGUCAAGACUCCUACGGGAGGCAGCAGUGGGGAAUAUUGGACAAUGGGCGAAAGCCUGAUCCAGCCAGGCCGCGUGUGUGAAGAAGGUCUUCGGAUUGUAAAGCACUUUAAGUUGGGAGGAAGGGCAGUAAGUUAAUACCUUGCUGUUUUGACGUUACCAACAGAAUAAGCACCGGCUAACUUCGUG